UGUUUAUUACCUGUGAAUUACUUCUACUAAACACCUGCCCAAAAUUCUACAGGCACUAUGCCAAGCUGGGCGUGUAUACAGGAUGGAGAGUUACUUUGGCAUGGUAUUCCCAGAGAUGGACACACAAGCAAAGUCUUUUUAACAAUGGAAAGAUCCACAGGUGCUUUUUGUUUUUUGUUUUGUUUUUACCUAAUGCUAAACUUUUAUCAAAGAAUUUUUCUUUCCAGCUUGAUAUUUCAAAUAAAUGUUAACCAUACAGUGUCUUCCCUCUCCCUUCAGGAUAUACAAACCACAGAAAUUCAAUGACUCAUCCCAAAAUGGUUUAUGAAUAUGCCAGGGGCGGAAGGGCAUGGUGUUUACUUCUUUAAGACUUCCUGCGAAACUGGAAAAAAAAAAGAGAGAAUACAGCAUUUGAAGAUAUUUGUAACUAACUAAAGAGCACGGGCCUGCCAUUGCAUGAAUGUGGAGAGUAGAGGCCAACUUGAAGUCAUCUGUAUGAUGAGACCUUGUGAGUCAAAGAGACAAAAUUCUCAUCAUAGUCCUAAGACAAUGGGAGGACAGACCUCUCCCCAUCCCCCGUCAAGAGAAUCCCUGCCAGAAAGAGAAUACCACAACUACCAACUACCAACCCACUUCCCCUACUCUUCGCAUCCCAGCAGUAAGAAAAGCCAGACGUUUAUCUGGACAUAAAACUGGCCUUGCCUGAGAAAGUAUGAAAAUCGGAGACAAGAGAGGAAAUGCUGCAGACAAUAGCAGAAGCUGCACAGUUCAUAAACUCUCAACUUCAAGCCACACCCAUUGGUGGAAUCUGGUGCCAGUAAGCAGACAGUGCUCUUAGCACCUCGACUCACCGGGGACAGAAAGAGAAAAGUUGUCU
RNAcentral lists this long non-coding RNA (877 nucleotides) under Cricetulus griseus (Chinese hamster). Its description in RNAcentral is "lncRNA (ENSCGRG00015035128.1)". Lineage: Eukaryota; Metazoa; Chordata; Mammalia; Rodentia; Cricetidae. The record is from RNAcentral.